This 26-nucleotide non-coding RNA is filed under the name Homo sapiens (human). The record is from RNAcentral. Lineage: Eukaryota; Metazoa; Chordata; Mammalia; Primates; Hominidae.
UGGGCAUCCUGAAGCUGUUCGAGGAC